RNAcentral lists this long non-coding RNA (241 nucleotides) under Elaeis guineensis (African oil palm). RNAcentral describes it as "long non-coding RNA (EGUI_LNC015189)". Lineage: Eukaryota; Viridiplantae; Streptophyta; Magnoliopsida; Arecales; Arecaceae. The record is from RNAcentral.
CCAUCUAAGAUCUGAAAACCAUUUUAUUUCUAAAACAAUCUAUCUUUGCUUGAUGUGUAGAUAAUCAAUUCAUGCCCAAAAUAGUAUCAAAAUCAUGUAUAUCUAAAGGAAUUAAAUCUGCUGCUAGCUUAUGCUCGCCCACUCGAAAUAGACAACCUUUGUAUACUUGUUCUGCAACAAGUGGCUCUCCCAGUGGCAUAGAUACCACCAAACUACAAUUUAAUCGACUCUAACUCUUAUC